CCACCCGCACGUAUAGAUGGACAAGAAUAGGCUUCGGCUUAGCGUCUUAGCAGGCGAUUCUUCCACGGCGCUCGAAGCGCGUCGUGGUAUUUCGCGUAUUGUAAUUUCAACACGAGCGGGGUCAAAUCCUUUGCAGACGACUUAGCUGUGCGAAACGGUCCUGUAAGCAGUAGAGUAGCCUUGUUGUUACGAUCUGCUGAGGGUAAGCCGUCCUUCGCCUCGAUUUCCCCAAUGGGUUCUCCGGAUUUCUGGAGACUUGUAGGGGUUGUGGGAUUUUUGAUGUGUCGUCUCCGGACGGGCGGUGCAGGGUAGUCGAGUUAGACUUGGUGGAAUUCCGUCGAUAGGAGUUCCGUCGAGUCUGGUCAGCUGUGUGUUGGACGGUGUAGGGUAGGCUGCUUGGACAUGGUCGGUUCGAGGAUCGAUUCGAGGGCCGGCCUGUCGAUGAUGUGUGAUGUAUGCGGUCUAGGGUAGGUUGGUUUGUCUUGGUUCGAUUUGAUGUCGGCUCCCGUGCAGGCCAGAGUGAGGGGGGUCCAGGGUAGGUGCAGGGUAGGCAGCUUAGAUUUGGUCGAUCUGGAGGUCGAUUCUCCGGCUGGCGGAUCUGACACUGUCGAAACGAGAUGCGAGGGGUGUAGGGUAGGCUAGUUUCGUACUUGCCAGGUUGCGAUUUGGACGAGAUAUGUGGUUUAGGGUAGGCUCUAGGGUAAGUAGAAUUCGAGUUUCGUCGCCGAUAGUUUUCUGUGGGUGUAUGGUAGGUACAGGGUAGGCAAAUCUCUCUCCGGCCAGUACUUGUCUCGUGGUCGUGAGUCGAUUUUUUUUGUUUUUGCCAUACUAUUGAAUUUUGCGGAAAUUCAAAAGUGGCUCGGGAGUCCCGCCUGGCGUGCGUCCGACUCG
Molecule: ribosomal RNA, 891 nt
Filed under: Fusarium oxysporum f. sp. lycopersici
Lineage: Eukaryota; Fungi; Ascomycota; Sordariomycetes; Hypocreales; Nectriaceae
Description: partial large subunit ribosomal RNA
Rfam family: Eukaryotic large subunit ribosomal RNA (bases 1-228)
Source: RNAcentral